AGGAAAAUAGUUAAAUAUAACGCUUGGGUUGCAUUCAAGAAGUACUCUUUGAGUUUUUCUUA
This 62-nucleotide transfer RNA is filed under the name Friesea propria. RNAcentral's name for it is "tRNA-Ala". The record is from RNAcentral. Lineage: Eukaryota; Metazoa; Arthropoda; Collembola; Poduromorpha; Neanuridae.